AAACAAAAUCUUAAAGGAAGAAAGAAACACGGUGCUUGUCUCGCAGACCAAAAACAAUUUCUCUCUCUCUUCCUCGUCUUUCAUCUCUUUAUAAUUUCAAUUGUUACAUCUUUUAUUAUAUAUUUAUUAUGUUAUACAUAUAAUUAAUAGACUAUCUGGGUCAAAAAAAAAAAGCUAGAAUUUUUAUACAUGUAACAAUUGAUUUUGAUGGUUAAUGGAUCUGUGGAAAGCUGAAAUCCUGUGAUUGAGGGAGUUUAUGUGAAUGAAUGAGAUAUGGGAUUAGAAUCGGUUGGUGGGUUUAUGAAAUCAAUAUCAUCAGCAAGUAGAAGGGAAUUUUAUUUUCGAAAUUUCAAUCGGUGAUUGAUCAAUCUUUGAUAUUUUAGGUGUUUUUUUUUUUGUUUUAAUGGAGGAAGUGGAGAUGGCCGAUUUGUGGGUUGGAGCUUGAUUUUAUGUAUUGGUGGUGGGUCAAUGGAUGAGGGCAGCCCUAGCAAUGGAGGUCAAGCCACGUGGAGGCCGAGGGAGCUGGCGUUUCGCCUAUAUAUGCUGCGCAAUGAAACACAAGGUUUACGAGUUGUUGUUGGAAAGCCUUUGGUGUCCAGACUUACCAAGGAUAUAGUUGAAACAUACCAAAUAUGCAACCCACAGUUCAAGUAUUCUGAAGAACUAAAUCCAAAGCGGUAUUUGACCAGCCCAUCUGUUGGGGUCCUCAAUGAUGGCUAUGAUAAUGUUAACUCAGAUCUUAUUUUGGCUGUGAACUUUGUCUUGGUCAAUUUAGAGACGCAGAGAAGAUAUGUUGUCAAAGAUGUUCUCGGUCAUGGAACUUUUGGGCAGGUUGCUAAGUGCUGGGAUGCAGAAACGAAUGGUUUUGUUGCUCUGAAGAUAAUUAAAAAUCAACCUGCAUACUAUCAGCAGGCAUUGGUUGAAGUAUCUAUUUUGACAACGUUAAACAAGAAGUAUGAUCCAGACGAUAAGCAUCACAUUGUUCGUAUUUAUGAUUACUUUGUACAUCAACGCCAUUUGUGCAUUUGCUUUGAACUACUGGACACAAAUCUGUAUGAGCUUAUCAAGAUUAAUCACUUUAGGGGGUUAUCAUUGAGCAUUGUCCAAUUGUUCUCUAAACAGAUUUUACGUGGACUGGCUCUGUUAAAAGAUGCUGGGAUAAUUCACUGUGAUCUGAAGCCAGAAAAUAUUCUUUUGUGCACAAGUGUAAAGCCGGCAGAAAUUAAAAUAAUUGACUUUGGAUCAGCAUGCAUGGAAGAUCGCACUGUAUACUCCUACAUUCAGAGUCGUUACUAUAGAUCUCCAGAAGUUCUUCUUGGGUAUCAAUAUACUACGGCUAUUGAUAUGUGGUCCUUUGGGUGCAUAGUUGCUGAAUUGUUUCUAGGGCUGCCAUUAUUCCCAGGAGCUUCAGAAUUUGAUCUUUUGAGGCGAAUGAUUGAAAUACUUGGAGAACAGCCCCCUGAUUAUGUACUAAAGGAGGCAAAAAAUACAAGCAAGUUUUUCAAGUGCAUUGGGAGUGUCCACAGUAUGGAUAAUGGUGAAGUUUUCAUGGGUGGAAGAAGUGCUUACCAAGCACUAACAGAGAUGGAGUAUGAAGCUAGAGAGUUGAAAAAACCACUGAUUGGGAAAGAGUACUUCAAUCAUAAGAACCUUGCAGAAAUUGUUACAAACUACCCUUACAGAAAGAACUUGUCUAUGGAAGAUAUUGUGAAAGAAAGUCAAGGACGAUUAGCUUUGCUUGAUUUUCUUAAGGGACUUGUUGAGUUUGAUCCUGCUAAACGGUGGUCACCUUUUCAGGCUUCAAGACAUCCUUUUGUGACAGGGGAACCUUUCACUUGCCCUUAUGAACCACCCCCAGAGACACCUCGCAUGCCUGUUGGUCAGAAUAUUAAGGUGGAUCAUCACCCAGGUGCAGGCCAUUGGUUUGCUGCUGGUCUUUCUCCUAAUAUUUCUGGCAGGAACAAAUUUUCCCUGCAUAAUACCCCACAUUUUCAGGUGGUGCCAUAUGCUCAUGGUAAUAGUUAUGGUAGUGUGGGAAGCUAUGGUAGUUAUAAUGAUGGUACUGGGCUUGGAAGUAGUUACGGGAGUUAUGGUGAUGGUGGCAAUAUGUUUGCCUAUUUCUCUCCUGUUGGUCCAUCUGGGAUGAACAUGGCUGCACAAGGAGGCAUGUCAAUGCUUGGAAGUAGCCCUGAUGCAAGAAAGAGGGUCAUUCAGUAUUCUCAUGGAAAUGGGCUUGGUGUGAGUCCAUCAGCAGGAAUUAUGGUUCCACUCCCCCUAGGUACUAGUCCCUCACAAUUCACUCCUCCAAGCUCAUAUGGUCAGGUUUCAGCUGGCUCUCCUGGACAUUAUGGUCCAACUUCUCCUGCAAGAAGCAGUGUUCAUGGAUCUCCUUUAGGAAAAAUGGCUGCUGUUACCCACUAUAAUAGAAGAAAAAGUUGGGGAUAUUCUGGAAAUUCUCAAGAGAGUUCAUCAUCUCAACAUUGGCAAGGACAAUCUAUUGAUGGCACCAGCUCUGGUCAAUCUGAAGCUAACUCUCAAGUACUUGGUAGUUUGUCAUCAAAUCUGCAAUCAAAUCCAGGUUCCUCCAACUCAAAGCAGCAACGAGGAGGCUCCGGAAUUACUCAUAAUUUGUCUGCGAUGAAGAGCAUGUCCAGCUCGUUAACACGUGGUUCUUGUAGUGCAGAAACAGCUCAUGAUAAACCUGAAGCUGGCCUGUCAAUGCCAGAUCCUGGAGACUGGGAUCCCAAUUAUAGUGAUGAACUUCUUCUGCAAGAUGGUCCAGAUGAGACCUCCUUAACUGCUGAGUUAAGCAAAGCUAUGCAUCUUGGUUCGGCUGAUUCAUCAGUUGGAAUUGGAAGAUUCAACCGCGCCUCAAGCACAAGCUCAAAUCUACCCAUCCAAAGACAAAAUGGGCCCAUCCAAGCAUUUUCACAUGGAGACAUGGGCAGUCCACCGUCAGCUCAUGACCCACAGGUUGGAUAUUCCCGUUUCAUGUCAAAGCCUUCUCAUUUCAUGACUCACAGCUCACAGAAUUCUCCAAGCCGUUUAGGACAGCCACCUGUUCAACGGUUCAAUUAUAUGAGGCCCAAUGCUCCUCAAGGGAGUGAAUGGAAUCAUAUCAAGGUGCCGCCUCCUGCUUCUAGCUUUAACUCUGGCGGCCAACGUUCUCCUGGAAGUGGCUCAUUCAACAACGUCAUACCAUGGGGACGUAGGGCCAAUCAUCCUGUCACAAAUAUUCCAACUGCAUCUCGUGGAAGAAAAGACUAUGGAAGGAUUGUGUGAUGUUGGAAUCCGCUUGAUUUCAGUAGGAGGGAUUAUGUAUUGAGUUGGCAAGAAAAUUGUACUCUGUAGUAAUUCACAUGUCUAGUGGGCUUCUAAGCAAAUCCUCAUCCAAACCAUGCUCAUUCUUUGUGCUUGCAUAAAUCCGCUGAAAGGAAUAGGAAUCCAAAAAGACAGAGUUAUAUUGUCAAGGUGAUGGCUGGAGUUUUUCAUUUAGUUGAGGUGUUGGAAAUGGAAGCUGUAAAUGUAGUAGAAUUGUUUUAUUUUUUCCAUUUUGUAAAAAAUUAUUUGACCAAUUCUUUUUCUCUAAGCCAAUUUGCGUUGUAAAGUUAAGCAAGUUAUUGAUCCUUGAGUUCAGC
Molecule: RNA transcript, 3638 nt
Organism: Pistacia vera
Lineage: Eukaryota; Viridiplantae; Streptophyta; Magnoliopsida; Sapindales; Anacardiaceae
Gene name: dual specificity protein kinase YAK1 homolog
Exons: 19
Source: RefSeq, a predicted model, not a curated record